Long non-coding RNA from Periophthalmus magnuspinnatus, 268 nucleotides. RefSeq lists it as uncharacterized. Lineage: Eukaryota; Metazoa; Chordata; Actinopteri; Gobiiformes; Gobiidae. The record is from RefSeq and is a predicted model, not a curated record. The transcript is spliced from 3 exons.
AGCGAAACUCACAAAGAGACAAGUUGUUGGAGGAGGCCCAGCAGAUGAUACAGGGCUGUCCGAAGCUUGCAGAAGGAAACCGACAGCUGGUCACCACUCACAGGUGUGCUCUGUACCGGAGUCUGGAGGAGCAGCUCCCAGACAGCGUCAAGGCUCUGGAGCAGGUGGCACACUUGAGCUUGUUCCUCUUCACAGACGCUCUGGUCUUGACCCGCCUCAGCCUGGAUCACGUCCCGUUUGGCCUGGCUCACACCUGCACCUACAGCUU